Molecule: ribosomal RNA, 33 nt
Filed under: Acer platanoides (Norway maple)
Lineage: Eukaryota; Viridiplantae; Streptophyta; Magnoliopsida; Sapindales; Sapindaceae
Also listed under: 8 other names
Description: partial 25S ribosomal RNA
Source: RNAcentral
GCGACCCCAGGUCAGGCGGGAUUACCCGCUGAG